UGAGUAACCUGCCCUUAACUCUGGGAUAAGCCUGGGAAACUGGGUCUAAUAUCGGAUAUGACUCCUCAUCGCAUGGUGGGGGGUGGAAAGCUUUUUGUGGUUUUGGAUGGACUCGCGGCCUAUCAGCUUGUUGGUGAGGUAAUGGCUCACCAAGGCGACGACGGGUAGCCGGCCUGAGAGGGCGACCGGCCACACUGGGACUGAGACACGGCCCAGACUCCUACGGGAGGCAG
This 233-nucleotide ribosomal RNA is filed under the name uncultured bacterium. Its description in RNAcentral is "partial 16S ribosomal RNA". It matches the Rfam family "Bacterial small subunit ribosomal RNA", at positions 118 to 351 of the family's 1533-position model. The record is from RNAcentral.